GGGGCCAUGGCUCAAUGGUAGAGCAUCUGUUUGGCAUGCAAAAGGUCCUAGCUUCAACCCCUGGCAUUCCCA
This 72-nucleotide transfer RNA is filed under the name Sphaerodactylus townsendi. Its description in RNAcentral is "tRNA-Ala". It matches the Rfam family "tRNA". From Rfam's summary of the family: Transfer RNA (tRNA) molecules are approximately 80 nucleotides in length. The record is from RNAcentral. Lineage: Eukaryota; Metazoa; Chordata; Lepidosauria; Squamata; Sphaerodactylidae.